AGCGGGAGCAGGGCCCGAACCGGGCACGGGGGGGUUAAUGAAGGUCUCCCCGGCACAGACUCUUCUGCUCCGCCCGGCCCCGCAGCGGGUGAGCGCUGCCUCUGCGCAUGCGGGACUCUCCUCCUCCCGCAUGCCCAGAAACGGGAGACACAAAACUCUUCUCCGGCUCCCAGAGAGGCUCCAACCGCCCAGCGCGAGACACGCUCGUCUUCACCGCCAGAACGUACGUCACUUCCGUUCCCGAAAGAGUCAGGAAUUACUUCUCCCAGCCUGCACCGGGGGCGCUUCCGCCCUCUCCUAGACCAGGCUGCAGAAUGACGUCCCUGUUUUGCUCCAGUUCAUCCCGUCCUCCCAUGGGACAGAGGAGAGAAAUGGCUGCAGAGGAGCCAGUUCAGGGUUUCCAGUUUCCAAACCUGAUGUGAUCUCCCAGCUGGAACAAGGGGAAGAGCCAUGGGUCCCAGACCUCCAGGGUUCAGAGGAAAGAGAGAUCUUGAAAGCUCCCUGCACAGUUGAGGAAACAUUAAACCAACUCAGAAUCUGAAGCAUGGCAGUGAAAUCUCUACUGAAAGCUUGUAAAUUAUUGUUACUCCUAAUCACUGCAAGAGGUGUGUACGAGUCCUAUUGAAGGAGUAAUAACCUGUCUAUGCCACUGGGACUCCUCCAAUAGGACCUCAGGAUUGGAGCUUCAGACUGGGGCUGAACUUCAUGAGUGUUAGGUAAGCAAUUUUCAGCAGGUUUCCAGGUGGAGGGUUGGAGUGUGGCUGCUCCCACGAACCCUGCAGACCCGGGUUGAAGACUCCUGGGUCAUGACAGUGAGUGAUCUCUCCCUGCUCAAACCUCCCACAGCAGGAAACAGUCUCCAGGAUACUGGACACAUCUUCUGAGAAUAAAAUGAGGAUAUCAUGAUGAGAAAUAGGUCUCUGUAUUAGGGUUGGGAUCUGGGGACACAGAAAGCUCCCAACCAGGAUAUGUAGCAGGAGCCCCCUGUUUAUUGCAAGAGCCCCAAGUGGCAGGAUGAGUGAAUGGUUCUUACCUCCAGGAGGUGCAUGGGAUCUUCUAGCUGAGCUUCAAUGGGACCUAUGUUGCUUGGUUUGACAGGAUGAGAUGACCUGUCCCCACUGCUCCCUGAGCUGGGCUGGCUGCAGGAUCUAUCUGUGUGAGAGGCUGGGACAGAGCCUGAAAGAUAGAUGUGACAAUCAGGGUUCUGUCACCUCCAGGGGAGAACAGAGGGUCUGAACCCCAAAGAAUAAGCAAUUGAAUCAACUGAUUCAAUGAAGAAUUAUUGUGCCAUACAGGUACAUCAUUAGGUCCUUUCAUGGAUUGGUAACUGGUUAAACACUGCUCUGCAUUGACUGCCCUGACCACGGGUGGCCCAGUGGCCCACUGCACCCCCAACUUAGCAGCUCCAGCUACCAAGAGAGCAAGAACCAGAGGCCUUCCUGCUCCUGGGACAGAGGAGUAGGUUGAUGAUCUACCUGGAUGUGAGUGUUGGCCUUCCCCAUGCCCAUGGUCUAGACUUCAUUCAGGGCAGCACACAGGAAUUGCGAUUCCUAUUCUGGAUCUAGGGGCGGUUUCAGUUUGCUGGCAGGAGACUGUACAUGAGACCUUGCAGUUGUGGGGUGAUCCAGGCACUAACAUGGGCACGGAAGUUUGAGGAACAGGGCAGAGGCCUGUGUGGGGCAAGGAGGGCAGGGAUUUGGGAAGCAAGAGCAGAGGAUCAAACACUUUCUUCAUGUGGGACAGGAUGAUCCCCAUUUCAAAGAUAGAGAAAGUGAGGCACCAGAUGGGAGAGUGACCUGGCCAGGAUCACGUUCCCACUCAGUGGCAGGGCUGCAGUAUAACCUGUUCCCUGCUCUCAUCACUGGACCCUGCUGCCCCUUCUGUAGGACCCCUCCAGCCAUCCUCUCCCAUAGGCCAUCCCCACCCCUCUCCAAUACCAGGCUGUUUCCAUAAUGGAAGCAGGCUUGUAACAGAGUUCACUCACUGAUAGGUGCUCCUUCCUGGCGAGGCCUGGGGUCACACCUAACUGAGAGGCAAAAGGAGAGGCCAGCACCUCCCCCUCCCCUCUGGAGCAUUGCUUAUUAUAAACUUUCAAAAAUGAACACAGUGGAGUCACAUCUUACACGGGGGUUAGGUUCGGAGGUCAGUGUGUAAGAGGAAGAUCGCGUGUAACCCUUCUGCCCAUUUGAGUUGGCAGCAAUAAGGGCCGGGUUCAGUAUCUAGGGGUUCCGUUUCAAUAACUGAAUGCAAAACUGGCUUGAGCCCCCACCCAGUGACCUGGGACA
Non-coding RNA from Chrysemys picta bellii (western painted turtle), 2285 nucleotides. The record is from RefSeq and is a predicted model, not a curated record. Lineage: Eukaryota; Metazoa; Chordata; Testudines; Emydidae.